Molecule: ribosomal RNA, 495 nt
Filed under: uncultured bacterium
Lineage: Bacteria
Description: partial 16S ribosomal RNA
Rfam family: Bacterial small subunit ribosomal RNA
Source: RNAcentral
GAUGAACGCUGGCGGCGUGCCUAAUACAUGCAAGUCGAGCGAACAGACGAGGAGCCUGCUCCUCUGACGUUAGCGGCGGACGGGUGAGUAACACGUGGAUAACCUACCUAUAAGACUGGGAUAACUUCGGGAAACCGGAGCUAAUACCGGAUAAUAUAUUGAACCGCAUGGUUCAAUAGUGAAAGACGGUUUUGCUGUCACUUAUAGAUGGAUCCGCGCCGCAUUAGCUAGUUGGUAAGGUAACGGCUUACCAAGGCAACGAUGCGUAGCCGACCUGAGAGGGUGAUCGGCCACACUGGAACUGAGACACGGUCCAGACUCCUACGGGAGGCAGCAGUAGGGAAUCUUCCGCAAUGGGCGAAAGCCUGACGGAGCAACGCCGCGUGAGUGAUGAAGGUCUUCGGAUCGUAAAACUCUGUUAUUAGGGAAGAACAAUGUGUAAGUAACUAUGCACGUCUUGACGGUACCUAUCAGAAAGCCACGGCUAACUACGUG